RNAcentral lists this ribosomal RNA (65 nucleotides) under Prioria oxyphylla. Its description in RNAcentral is "partial 26S ribosomal RNA". It matches the Rfam family "Eukaryotic large subunit ribosomal RNA", at positions 1 to 64 of the family's 3401-position model. Lineage: Eukaryota; Viridiplantae; Streptophyta; Magnoliopsida; Fabales; Fabaceae. The record is from RNAcentral.
GCGACCCCAGCUCAGGCGGGGCCACCCGCUGAGUUUAAGCAUAUCAAUAAGCGGAGGAAAAGAAA